CCUACGGGUGGCUGCAGUGAGGAAUAUUGGUCAAUGGGCGCGAGCCUGAACCAGCCACGUAGCGUGAAGGAUGACUGCCCUACGGGUUGUAAACUUCUUUUAUAAAGGAAUAAAGUGAGGCACGUGUGCCUUUUUGUAUGUACUUUAUGAAUAAGGAUCGGCUAACUCCGUGCCAGCAGCCGCGGUAAUACGGAGGGUCCGAGCGUUAUCCGGGAUUAUUGGGUUUAAAGGGUGCGUAGGUGGGUUAGUAAGUCAGAUGUGAAAGUUUAUGGCUUAACCGUAAAAUUGCAAUUGAUACUGGCAGUCUAGAGUAUGGUAGAGGUAGGCGGAAUUCGUGGUGUAGCGGUGAAAUGCGUAGAGAUCACGAAGAACUCCGAUUGCGAAGGCAGCUUACUAGACUGCCACUGACAUUGAUGCUCGAAAGUGUGGGGAUCAAACAGGAUUAGAUACCCUAGUAGUC
This 460-nucleotide ribosomal RNA is filed under the name uncultured bacterium. RNAcentral's name for it is "partial 16S ribosomal RNA". It matches the Rfam family "Bacterial small subunit ribosomal RNA", at positions 338 to 795 of the family's 1533-position model. The record is from RNAcentral.